Molecule: long non-coding RNA, 923 nt
Organism: Schistocerca gregaria
Lineage: Eukaryota; Metazoa; Arthropoda; Insecta; Orthoptera; Acrididae
Exons: 3
Source: RefSeq, a predicted model, not a curated record
UUCACGUUCAUCACUAACACAGUUACGACAUGACCACCUAAUGAGAUUAUCUUGUUCUGUGGUUGGUUGUCCUGUCUCUCAUUUCACUACAUUCCAUACACCGUUUUGUUUGGUGUCAAAGUUACUGAUUUCUGACAUUAUGUAUGCCACCUCAGUCCUAAUGGAAUAUAAUGUCCUAGAAAGUAUCCCAGAUAGUAUUCAAAACAUCAAAAAACCUUGAAUCCUGGUUUUAUCAAAGUGGACUGAAAAUGAAUGUAACAAAGACCCAUGUGAUGCAGUUUAGAGCUAAAAUACCAGAAACAGUUGAAAAUAAAAUAACUCAGAAUGGCCAGGAAAUGACAGAAGUAAGCCAUGCUACGUUUUUGGGGCCAAGUCUAGACAAAUAUUUUUAAUUGGAAGGCACAAGUAGAUGUCAUAGCAAACAAUUUAAAUAGUCAAACUUUGCAAUGUGUGGUUUAUCUGACGUGUCCCACAGAAGCAAAAAUGUGUCUCACAGAUACUUUGAAUUGGUUGUUGGGUAUAUUAUAACCUUCUGGGAAAAUUCAACCAACAACUUUAGACUUCUGAUGCUUCACAAGAAGAUCAUCAAAAACAGUUUGUUUCAGGUUGCUGUUGUUUAAAUGUUAAUGAAAACUCUGAAGCAAGUAGGAGUCAGUUCCUUCUGAGCGACACAGGUGUUAACAGACUGAAAUCUUCAGUCAUCACCACCAGUGAAUUCUACAUAACAGUGGAAAAUAACAUAAGGACAAAUUAAACAAUGUGUACUGCAUUUAGCUAGUUAUUUACGUGUUCCAGAGAAUGUUUGUAUGAUAUUUAAUUAUAACAAGGCAUUGGUCAGUUGACAGGUUAAAGAAGUGGCUACAUGAUGCCCAUGUACUGAAUUUGUGUAAUAGUAAAAAUAUUUAGGUUAUUAGCAGAAGAAA